UACGUAGGGUGCAGGCGUUAAUCGGAAUUACUGGGCGUAAAGCGUGCGCAGGCGGUUGUGCAAGACAGAUGUGAAAUCCCCGGGCUUAACCUGGGAAUUGCAUUUGUGACUGUACGGCUAGAGUGUGUCAGAGGGGGGUAGAAUUCCACGUGUAGCAGUGAAAUGCGUAGAGAUGUGGAGGAAUACCGAUGGCGAAGGCAGCCCCCUGGGAUAACACUGACGCUCAUGCACGAAAGCGUGGGGAGCAAACAGG
RNAcentral lists this ribosomal RNA (253 nucleotides) under uncultured bacterium. RNAcentral describes it as "partial 16S ribosomal RNA". It matches the Rfam family "Bacterial small subunit ribosomal RNA", at positions 524 to 776 of the family's 1533-position model. The record is from RNAcentral.